GAUGAACGCUGGCGGCGUGCCUAACACAUGCAAGUCGAACGGAGCAGAUGCACCGGAUGAAGAUUCGUCAGAUUCCACCGUAUCUGCUUAGUGGCGGACGGGUGAGUAACGCGUGGGUAACCUGCCCUGUACAGGGGAAUAGCAGCUGGAAACGGCUGGUAAAACCGCAUAUGCGCACACUGCCGCAUGGCAGAGUGUGGAAAACUCCGGUGGUACAGGAUGGACCCGCGUCUGAUUAGCUAGUUGGCAGGGUAACGGCCUACCAAGGCGACGAUCAGUAGCCGGCCUGAGAGGGUGGACGGCCACAUUGGGACUGAGACACGGCCCAAACUCC
This 334-nucleotide ribosomal RNA is filed under the name uncultured Lachnospiraceae bacterium. Its description in RNAcentral is "bacterial SSU rRNA". It matches the Rfam family "Bacterial small subunit ribosomal RNA", at positions 28 to 339 of the family's 1533-position model. Lineage: Bacteria; Bacillati; Bacillota; Clostridia; Lachnospirales; Lachnospiraceae. The record is from RNAcentral.